Haliotis rubra (blacklip abalone) is the source of this 261-nucleotide long non-coding RNA. RefSeq lists it as uncharacterized. NCBI's taxonomy places the organism in Eukaryota, Metazoa, Mollusca, Gastropoda, Lepetellida, Haliotidae. The record is from RefSeq and is a predicted model, not a curated record. The transcript is spliced from 3 exons.
UGUUUUGAUGAACCGGCCCUGAAGGCGAGGUUUAACAUAAUACUCGUGAGAAAGACGGACUUUAAAUCUACGUCGAACAUGCCGAUUAAUCGAACAGAAGUCAGGCCCGGCGGUUACCAAGCCGACAUCUACCAGACCACGCCACUCAUGUCUACAUAUCUCGUCGCGUUUGUAGUGUCGGAUUUUGAAUAUAUAAAUGGAACUACCUCCCGUGGUUUACAGUAUCGUGUAUGGGCAAGGCAAAACGUCCUGUCUCAGCUG